UUCUGCAUCGUCUGCUGUCUCGCUUUGUGUAUCUGAGCACAGUGAUGGGACUGCCAGAUGGUAAGCAUCCCAAGGACGUUAGUGAAGCCAAGACUCAUGCGGAGCCAUCGCAGAAUACAAUUUGUUUCAUUGUAACAGCAUGCCAAGACAGGCUCAGCAGUGGGGUGGUGUGCUCUAUGCUCUCAUAAGUAUGCAAGAACAGAAUGAAGCAAAGCUCCAUCAUACAUAAAAUUAAUGGAAAGAGAGGUGGUCAUCUAGAAAGGGUUGUUUUAACCUGGAUAGGUGAAGCAUCUUUGCUUUCGCAUAUGAAAAGCGGAGUGCGUUGGCAGUGUUUUCCUGAUCUGUCUCUGCUCUCUCCAUAAUGUAUGAGGUGCUGGAGGAGCCCUUCAUUAGUCUCUGUUGGGCCGGCUGGGCAAGCUGGAGAUGACUCCCGGGGCAGUGCUGGACAGAGCUGUAAAUUGCAUGGCCUGCCCCUGCUGAGCCAGCAGCCAAGACUGCAUGUGUGAAUUAGGGAGUUUGUGCCAGA
Molecule: long non-coding RNA, 526 nt
Organism: Carassius carassius (crucian carp)
Lineage: Eukaryota; Metazoa; Chordata; Actinopteri; Cypriniformes; Cyprinidae
Exons: 3
Source: RefSeq, a predicted model, not a curated record